This 429-nucleotide unclassified non-coding RNA is filed under the name Aphyllon fasciculatum. RNAcentral describes it as "partial external transcribed spacer". The record is from RNAcentral. Lineage: Eukaryota; Viridiplantae; Streptophyta; Magnoliopsida; Lamiales; Orobanchaceae.
GGUUUGUAUGAGCAUGUUGGAUCCUUGCUUGCGCAUCGACAAUGUCUCAUGCAUUCCAUUUCAGUUGUUGCCCUCAAGUUUUACUUGGUCGUUGCGUGUUUCCUGUGCUAAAUACCUAACAUGAAGGCAUUCCAUUUGAUGCGAACACUAUAUCCACCUUUCGAUGCCCCCCAAGAGGAGUGCGUUUUGUUGGUGGACGUCAAAUCAUGCAUUGUGUUUCACAUCCUUUGCAUGCUUGUUCAUGCUUUGGGUUGUUGACCCAUGAUGUUAUGUUUGAUUUCUUGGAUAUGGAAAAUUAUGAGGGUAUGGGUCUUUGGCCUUUAACAACCCCAAAAUAGGCGUUCGACGCUAUAAGCGAACGACUGUCGUGUUUGUGUUGGACGAGUCCUUUGUGGACUUUGCUCAUACGGCACACAUGUCGGUGAGGAA